GGUGAGCUGCCAGAGCGGUUGAAUGGGACUGACUCGAAAUCAGUUGUUCGAUGUAAAUCGGACCGUGGGUUCAAAUCCCACGCUCACCG
Molecule: transfer RNA, 89 nt
Filed under: bacterium
Lineage: Bacteria
Description: tRNA-Ser
Rfam family: tRNA
About the family: Transfer RNA (tRNA) molecules are approximately 80 nucleotides in length. Their secondary structure includes four short double-helical elements and three loops (D, anti-codon, and T loops). Further hydrogen bonds mediate the characteristic L-shaped molecular structure. tRNAs have two regions of fundamental functional importance: the anti-codon, which is responsible for specific mRNA codon recognition, and the 3' end, to which the tRNAs corresponding amino acid is attached (by aminoacyl-tRNA synthetases). tRNAs cope with the degeneracy of the genetic code in two manners: having more than one tRNA (with a specific anti-codon) for a particular amino acid; and 'wobble' base-pairing, i.e. permitting non-standard base-pairing at the 3rd anti-codon position.
Source: RNAcentral